GGGAAGACUAGGCCGGGGGGUUAGCCCUCUCCUGUUACCACCAACGGGCUUUAUGAUGGGGCUGAAGCCUGGGAAGAGGUAUUGGCCUUAAUUAUUGGUCUUGGUUCGGACGUUGAGGGCCUGUCCUGCAGGAUUGGUUUUUUAGGGAAACAUGUCAGAUCAGGAAUGAAGCAGCAUUAACCUUUAAGACUGGUGCUUGCGGGGUCGCGGGUCUGAGGAAGAGUCAAGGUAGCCAAUAGUUAUGGCCUUUAUCCAUUUUCAGGCAUGUCUUCCC
Non-coding RNA from Candidatus Woesearchaeota archaeon CG1_02_33_12, 274 nucleotides. NCBI's taxonomy places the organism in Archaea, Nanobdellati, Candidatus Woesearchaeota. The record is from Rfam.